Molecule: unclassified non-coding RNA, 1721 nt
Filed under: Hevea brasiliensis (rubber tree)
Lineage: Eukaryota; Viridiplantae; Streptophyta; Magnoliopsida; Malpighiales; Euphorbiaceae
Source: RNAcentral
GUUUCCUUGCACUUGAGAAAAAAUUUGACCCAAUUUGAGUCUGCAAGUAACCAUUUAAUGGAAUGGAAUGUUUCAUUAUAAAAUAAUUUCUCAAUUUUUUUGCUCUAUAUCUUCUAUCCUUCCCAAUAUUUCGCUCAUUUUUGGCCGUGUCUCUGGUGUCACAUCUGUACACUGGAGAGCCAUCUCUGUAAGCUUCAACAUCUCAUCAUGGCCUUCUCUUGCUGGCAAUAUCUCUACGUCUAAUAUAUCAGCAGACCAAUCAUUGUUAACAACCGUCCGAACCCAGUCAGAAAGAUCCUCAACUAUUUCAUCAUCUCUGGGCGAAACCUCGCCCGGUAUCCUCCCAGUAAUGACCUCUAGUAGGAUAAUGCCAAAGCAGUAUACAUCCGUUUUGUGUGUCAGCUUCUUCCUUUGGGAGAACUCUGGUGACCUGCUAAUUGCCAGACUCUCAGACAAUUUCCGAGAAGGUAGCAGCGGCAAGAAGCCAUAGUCUGUGAGCUUGGAGCGGUAGCUUUGGCCAUCUUGAUGGAUUAGUACAUUAGAUGAUUUGAGGUUAGCAUGGGGCACCUUGUGAGAAGGUAAGGAUCGGUGGAGGAAUGCCAGGCCCUUUGCUAUAUCCUUGAUUAUGGACAAUCUUGCAGCCCAAUUCAAAGGAACUCUUCCAACCCCUCUAUUCCCAUGCAAUAGCUCAAACAGAUUGCCAGUAGGUACAAAUUCAUAGAUAAUCAGCUUUUCCUCUUUGGAGUGGUAAAAAGAAAUAAUCUGCACCAGGUUUUCGUGCUUCAGCUUUCCCAGAAGCUGCACCUGCUGGAUAAAUUCAUUCUUGCUCAAGCCGUUCAUGUUUUUAACUCUCUUAACGGCAACAACAUCACCCGAUUCCAAGUUUGCUUUGUAGGUAGUACCAUGUUUCCCCUUGCCUAACACUUCAGCAGAUGCCCUUAGCAAAUCAUCCAAGUCAAACACGGCUAUGUUUCUUUCAAAAAAUUCCAGCUCCACCUUUCUUUCAGGAUCCUUUGUGCUUUGGGAAUGUGUCAAUUUCUUUUCUGUCCAUCCUGCAGGGCCACCCCCUGCUUGUGGUUCUUUUGCUGUUUCUUUUCUUUGCACCCUCUUGUAACAACACAGGACAAGCAGCAAAAUCACUAAUGGAACUAGGGCAGCCAGUGCCGCAAUUAAAACAACAAUCCAAAUUUCAAGUUUCUUUUUCUUGUCCUUCCCUGGUCUCAUAGGAGAAGGAGGAGGUGGUGAUGGAGCUGGAGAUGGAACUGGGCACGGCUCUAAUGGAAAACCACAAAGAUCCAAGUUAUGACCGUAGGAGCUCUCUGGGAACCUUCGAAGAGUCUCUGUUGGGGGAAUUGAGCCUUGAAAAUAAUUGUAAGAAACAUUGAAAUCUGUCAAUGUUUUCUGAUCAAAAGGCGGAAUUUGACCCUCUAAAUAGUUCUGCUGAAACUCUAAACGUUCCAGAUUUGGCAAUUCAAUGUACUCAGAAGGAAUUGAACCAAUAAAUCGGUUGAAUGAAAGGAGCACAGAUUCCAAGUGAACAAGAUUGGUGAGAUUAGGAAGUGGUCCAGAGACUGAAUUGUUUCUGAAGCUGAGUUUAGUCAAUAAAGAAAUGUUAUAUAGGAAUGCAGGUGGGAGAGGACCUGAAAGCUGGAUUCCUUCAAGGACAAUGUGAAUUACAUGCCAAUUAGAACAAACAAUACCAGCCCAUCUGCUAAAAUUUG